This 2788-nucleotide ribosomal RNA is filed under the name Salmonella enterica subsp. enterica serovar Dublin. Its description in RNAcentral is "bacterial LSU rRNA". It matches the Rfam family "Bacterial large subunit ribosomal RNA". The record is from RNAcentral. Lineage: Bacteria; Pseudomonadati; Pseudomonadota; Gammaproteobacteria; Enterobacterales; Enterobacteriaceae.
GGGUUGUGAGGUUAAGCGACUAAGCGUACACGGUGGAUGCCCUGGCAGUCAGAGGCGAUGAAGGGCGUGCUAAUCUGCGAUAAGCGCCGGUAAGGUGAUAUGAACCGUUAUAACCGGCGAUACCCGAAUGGGGAAACCCAGUGUGAUUCGUCACACUAUCAUUAACUGAAUCCAUAGGUUAAUGAGGCGAACCGGGGGAACUGAAACAUCUAAGUACCCCGAGGAAAAGAAAUCAACCGAGAUUCCCCCAGUAGCGGCGAGCGAACGGGGAGGAGCCCAGAGCCUGAAUCAGCAUGUGUGUUAGUGGAAGCGUCUGGAAAGGCGCGCGAUACAGGGUGACAGCCCCGUACACAAAAGCGCAUGUGCUGUGAGCUCGAUGAGUAGGGCGGGACACGUGGUAUCCUGUCUGAAUAUGGGGGGACCAUCCUCCAAGGCUAAAUACUCCUGACUGACCGAUAGUGAACCAGUACCGUGAGGGAAAGGCGAAAAGAACCCCGGCGAGGGGAGUGAAAAAGAACCUGAAACCGUGUACGUACAAGCAGUGGGAGCNNGUGACUGCGUACCUUUUGUAUAAUGGGUCAGCGACUUAUAUUCUGUAGCAAGGUUAACCGAAUAGGGGAGCCGGAGGGAAACCGAGUCUUAAUUGGGCGUUAAGUUGCAGGGUAUAGACCCGAAACCCGGUGAUCUAGCCAUGGGCAGGUUGAAGGUUGGGUAACACUAACUGGAGGACCGAACCGACUAAUGUUGAAAAAUUAGCGGAUGACCUGUGGCUGGGGGUGAAAGGCCAAUCAAACCGGGAGAUAGCUGGUUCUCCCCGAAAGCUAUUUAGGUAGCGCCUCGUGAAUUCAUCUCCGGGGGUAGAGCACUGUUUCGGCUAGGGGGCCAUCCCGGCUUACCAACCCGAUGCAAACUGCGAAUACCGGAGAAUGUUAUCACGGGAGACACACGGCGGGUGCUAACGUCCGUCGUGAAGAGGGAAACAACCCAGACCGCCAGCUAAGGUCCCAAAGUCAUGGUUAAGUGGGAAACGAUGUGGGAAGGCCCAGACAGCCAGGAUGUUGGCUUAGAAGCAGCCAUCAUUUAAAGAAAGCGUAAUAGCUCACUGGUCGAGUCGGCCUGCGCGGAAGAUGUAACGGGGCUAAACCAUGCACCGAAGCUGCGGCAGCGANNGUUGGGUAGGGGAGCGUUCUGUAAGCCUGUGAAGGUGGCCUGUGAGGGUUGCUGGAGGUAUCAGAAGUGCGAAUGCUGACAUAAGUAACGAUAAAGCGGGUGAAAAGCCCGCUCGCCGGAAGACCAAGGGUUCCUGUCCAACGUUAAUCGGGGCAGGGUGAGUCGACCCCUAAGGCGAGGCCGAAAGGCGUAGUCGAUGGGAAACGGGUUAAUAUUCCCGUACUUGGUGUUACUGCGAAGGGGGGACGGAGAAGGCUAUGUUGGCCGGGCGACGGUUGUCCCGGUUUAAGCGUGUAGGUGUGUGUUCCAGGUAAAUCCGGUUCACUUUAACACUGAGGCGUGAUGACGAGGCACUACGGUGCUGAAGUAACAAAUGCCCUGCUUCCAGGAAAAGCCUCUAAGCAUCAGGUAACAUCAAAUCGUACCCCAAACCGACACAGGUGGUCAGGUAGAGAAUACCAAGGCGCUUGAGAGAACUCGGGUGAAGGAACUAGGCAAAAUGGUGCCGUAACUUCGGGAGAAGGCACGCUGACACGUAGGUGAAGUGAUUUACUCAUGGAGCUGAAGUCAGUCGAAGAUACCAGCUGGCUGCAACUGUUUAUUAAAAACACAGCACUGUGCAAACACGAAAGUGGACGUAUACGGUGUGACGCCUGCCCGGUGCCGGAAGGUUAAUUGAUGGGGUCAGCGCAAGCGAAGCUCCUGAUCGAAGCCCCGGUAAACGGCGGCCGUAACUAUAACGGUCCUAAGGUAGCGAAAUUCCUUGUCGGGUAAGUUCCGACCUGCACGAAUGGCGUAAUGAUGGCCAGGCUGUCUCCACCCGAGACUCAGUGAAAUUGAACUCGCUGUGAAGAUGCAGUGUACCCGCGGCAAGACGGAAAGACCCCGUGAACCUUUACUAUAGCUUGACACUGAACAUUGAGCCUUGAUGUGUAGGAUAGGUGGGAGGCUUUGAAGCGUGGACGCCAGUCUGCGUGGAGCCGACCUUGAAAUACCACCCUUUAAUGUUUGAUGUUCUAACGUGGACCCGUGAUCCGGGUUGCGGACAGUGUCUGGUGGGUAGUUUGACUGGGGCGGUCUCCUCCUAAAGAGUAACGGAGGAGCACGAAGGUUGGCUAAUCCUGGUCGGACAUCAGGAGGUUAGUGCAAUGGCAUAAGCCAGCUUGACUGCGAGCGUGACGGCGCGAGCAGGUGCGAAAGCAGGUCAUAGUGAUCCGGUGGUUCUGAAUGGAAGGGCCAUCGCUCAACGGAUAAAAGGUACUCCGGGGAUAACAGGCUGAUACCGCCCAAGAGUUCAUAUCGACGGCGGUGUUUGGCACCUCGAUGUCGGCUCAUCACAUCCUGGGGCUGAAGUAGGUCCCAAGGGUAUGGCUGUUCGCCAUUUAAAGUGGUACGCGAGCUGGGUUUAGAACGUCGUGAGACAGUUCGGUCCCUAUCUGCCGUGGGCGCUGGAGAACUGAGGGGGGCUGCUCCUAGUACGAGAGGACCGGAGUGGACGCAUCACUGGUGUUCGGGUUGUCAUGCCAAUGGCACUGCCCGGUAGCUAAAUGCGGAAGAGAUAAGUGCUGAAAGCAUCUAAGCACGAAACUUGCCCCGAGAUGAGUUCUCCCUGAGACUU